ACGCGAGGACAGCAAUCCCAUGGGUAGUUCCGUUUGGUUUGAGCAGCUUGUCGAGGCGGAUAGAUGGCCGACCUAUGAGUUCUCCCUCCAACCAUCUUAUUGUACCGACGAGUAUUGGCGGUUGUACUAUUUUCUCAUCUCCUAUUCUGGCUGCUAAUUACUUAUUCCUAACCCAUCUGACCUCUCCAUCCUGGUUGUUGUUUGAGUACAGGUGCGUCUCAAUCACCGAUUGUAUGAACUAAAUUUGCAUUGUAUGAUUGAGAUUUGUUCCAUUGUGCUUGGUUCUGCAGGUUAAACAGCUCACGGUAGUAUUUUUUAUGAUUGUGCAUGUGUUCCUCUUCUAAAUAUGGGCAACUAAUGCUACUGCUUUGCAGCCUUCCAUGUGCUUGAUGGAAUGCUUGGCUGCAC
This 408-nucleotide long non-coding RNA is filed under the name Brachypodium distachyon (stiff brome). RNAcentral describes it as "long non-coding RNA (BDIS_LNC003054)". Lineage: Eukaryota; Viridiplantae; Streptophyta; Magnoliopsida; Poales; Poaceae. The record is from RNAcentral.